Punica granatum (pomegranate) is the source of this 4858-nucleotide non-coding RNA. NCBI's taxonomy places the organism in Eukaryota, Viridiplantae, Streptophyta, Magnoliopsida, Myrtales, Lythraceae. The record is from RefSeq and is a predicted model, not a curated record.
UAAGUGAAAUCUACUUGAAGUCGGUAGACAUUGUGCAAUGAAAUAGAAAUUCUAAUUUAUUUAUAAUUUAUAAUCUAUAAUCCUUAAGAAAGAGUGGAGCUCAUCCAAUUGUUUCUUGAUUUUUUUUUGUUUUCUAAUAUAGAACACCCCUGUUCAGGCAAAAUCUUACUUUGAAGUGCCCUUACAACCAAAGGUCACAUACAGUUAGCUAUACGUUUGUAUCCGCCAAAACACAUUUUAUCAAAGAAAAACAAAUGGAUCCCAGCCAUUCCAAUACCCACUUCACGUUCGUCCUCCUUGUCGGGCCUUCACUCACAGACAACUGCUACUGUAUUUGAUUCAUAGAAUUCACGCCCUUUUUCGAAUUCAGAGUUCUGGCCCUCUCCGAGUUCUUCCACUAAAACAGGUUGGUGCUCUUGCGCCUAUCCUCCAAUGGCAGACCUCUCGGGCGUGCGAUCCUGCAUUCAGUCCAUCCUCAUUUGUGCGCCUCCGAAGUGUUUGUGGAAAUGCCUGUGCACCGUUGUCCCCCUUUCCUUGGCGCCCGCACUUUGUCACACCCUUACUGUCUGGCAAUUUCAUAGUUAUGUAGGACAUUGUUUUGUUCCAAUAAAGUUAUUGCUUCCCACCACCCAUUUUCCUCUGCUAUAUUAUGUUGUGAUUUGCAAUCCAAAGGGAAUAAAAAAAAAAUCACAAGAUUGCAAGAUGUUUUAAAUUUCAAUAUGCUUGCUUAUUUCUUUUUCGAGCAUCCAUUCUUCCAAAUGGUAAUGAUAAGGAGUUAUCUCCUUCGUUGGCCUCUCUGGUACAGUCUCUCCAGUCUCAAGCAGCCUGAUGUUUAUUCUAUCAUUUGGGACAUCUGUAUUUUUAGGAACCAAUGUAAAAUCAUAUCUUUUAAAAAAAAAAUUGUAUGUAGAGUAGACCUGUUAUUUUAAUGAAUUGAACUUAUCAACAAACUUUUGUAGUUAAACUAUAUUCUAGGGAUAGGAACUCAGCUGCAUCUCACUUGCACUAUUGAUUUCGUUGUCGUUCAUUCCAAAUUCGUUGUUACAUGAUAUUCCUUUCAGGUGCUUCAAGUAUCAUCAUUGACUUGUGCUUGUUGUGUCAGAGUCCAAAUAAGCAGAUACUUCUUCGGGCUUUGAGAGAAUGUAGCAGUGUAGCACAAUGGAAGAAAAGAUAGACUUUGUGGGGCCAACUUUCUAUUAUUUCGCCUUCAGGAGACCACUACUAUUUCAUAGAAGAGUUUGAGAUUCUGAACUUUCUAACUGAGUAAAGAAACUUCCAUUUCUUGAUUAUGAUGGUAUGCUCGCAAUUUUGCUCUUUAUUGAAAAUCCCUAAUGCACUACUCCACCGGUGUGCGUCCUGCUUGAUAAGUUCAUAAGAAUCUGACUGCAAGGUUUUGGAUUGACAUUAUGCAAGCAGGUUUCAUACUUCCUUUUUGGACGUCCAUUCUUUUCAGAAAAAUGAGCUAGCCAAUUUACCCUGAAAGGAAAAUGAGAUUUGGUUCUCUGGUGCUAGGCGCUCUUUUGGUUCGUAAGAAGGAAAAAUGGAUCAUCCUUUGUUUGGCACGAGAUGAUAAAGAGAGAGCUUCGUUUAUCGAGGGAGAGUGGAUUGACUAAGCUCUUGCAACUAGCGGAUUAGCUUGGAAAGAAUGUUACCUUCUUUUCAAAGAGCAGUCAUUGGUUUUGCUUUUCAACUCACAUGUGCUGAGCCUGAAGAAUUGCAGCGAUUAUGGUAGUUGAGGUAAUGAAUUUCAAUUUUAUAUUUUUGCAGCUUGGAAAGAUCACUGACUUGUAGAUAAAUAUAUUACUUCCAUCAAUGUUCUUGGAGCCCAUUGCCGUCUCCAGAAGAAAAAUUAAUGACGUAAGCUUUUCAAUUGUGCUUCAAAUCAAAAGACUGCCUCAUGACUGAGUACUUUGCUUGGAGAGUAUGAUUGACUCAUUUGAAUCUUUUUUUCCCCAUCUAGAUAGAACUUUGGUGGUAACUCUACAACGGUUACCAAGCAUCUUUAAGAGGUUAGAUACCAAAAAUUGUGAAGAACUUGAAUAUAAUUUUUUUAGAACCUGUCAUUCCACAUCCUUCUUGCAUUUACUUUUGUUUUUCUCGAAAGUAAAUUGAGGUUGUUCAUUGAAUUCUACAAAUUACUGCAUGGUUUUCUGGAUGGAUGAUUUUUGAGGUUAUCACCAUUUUCAAGACUCAAGCACUAAAAAAUGCGAUUCAUCUUUCUAUCAUUUCUUCUUAAGAAAAAUCAGAAGAUGGAAAAUGAUUCAUGUAUAAUAUACUUUGUUGAAGAACAGCGAGUGGGCUUACUUUUUGAUAUUUGCUAUUUCUCCAAUCUCAGGCACUACUUGAUUUCUUAAAGUUGUUGAUUUGAUCCAUUUGUAUAUUUAGGUUUGAUUGAAACCUCAUAAUUUCAUAGCAAAGGUACCAUAGUCAUGAUCCUUCCUUGAAGUAGUUGUUUCGUUUUCUUUGCCUGAGAUAUGAGAUUAUUUUUGUAAUUAAGAACAUUUAGAAUUCUGCCUCAUUCCUAUAAACUUGGAGAUGUUAUUAUUGAUUCGGUAUCUUAAACUCAGAUUUCUUUUUUGUAUUUCUUGCGAUUUUUGGAGAUGUAAAAAUCUGUGUUGUAAAACAUUGUUUGCUUUUCUAGGAAUUAAGGUUUCACUUCUUCUUAUAAAGAAUAAGAAAACAAUUGAGGGUUCGCCAUUUUUCUUUUUUGGCUUGUGUACUAAAAAUUGAAGUACCAUAUGAUAGGAAUAUAUAAUUGGUAAACUUCUGCGGAUACAAACUUUAGCCCACUCAUGGUUUAUCCUAUACUAAAAAGGGUUGGUGUAUGCUAAAAUACAGUUCAACAUUUUUACAUUCAUACAUUUAUACCAAUGGCUCAAAAUUCAAUUGGAGAGCGCUAUAGGAUCAGAAUUUUUUCUUAAUUAUAUUUUAUAUUGAAGGUAUAAUCUGAUAAAUAGAUUUAUAACAGUGAAUCUCCAAGUUCAUCAACAUUUUUUUUAUAGGUGUUCACCAACAUAUUUGGUUUGCUAAAAGUUGUUUUUCUCGAAAUGUUGCUUCAAUCUUGAGCCAAUAGUUGAAUUCUUUAAACUAUCCUUCUAUUUAGUACAAGUUUUUAUAUAAGAGUCUGUUUUUUUUUUUGGGGGGUAACGUAAGAGUCUGCAUCUUAAUAUUACCAAUAUCAGUUUAAAAGCUUAGCUGGACCGAUUACUUGAGUGAUGUAAUAAAUAAAUUUAGUCUGUGCAUCGUGUUACUGCUUCCAUACACUAUUAGAGGAAAUUUGCCGGCAAUUUCAAACCCCAUUCUCUUCUUGUUGGUAAGUUCCAUUAAUCCCUCUCUACGUUGCCCUCUUUGUCAUCUAUAUAGAUUAAAUUGCAGAUGGCUAGGACCGGUUGGUGAUAAUAUGCCAUCUUUCCUAAUUGUGUCUCCAUUUAUUCAAAGAUCUAUUGCUCUUUGUUUUACGCGUUUCAUUACCCUUCCUAUACAAUGGUUUGUUGAUUGAAGUUUUUUUGAUGAAUUUGUUGAUCGAAGUUUAGUUUUUAUCAAAUAAUGGGAAUGCUGGAGCCUAUCAUUAGUGGAAUGUCUAUUUAGAGUACAUUUUACUAGACGUCUAUCUUGAGGAUCGAAAUAGUCUUAUUCUGAGAUUGUCAAUGUAUAGUCUACGUAUUGUUUGCAAAUUAUAGCCAAAUUGAUAAAGUAAGAUAUAUUAUUAAUUUUUCUUUUAUAUAUUUAGCUGUUCAAAUUUUAAUAAAAUAUUACAUUUUUAAAAGAUGAUCAUUAUAAGUGAAGCAGUUGCUUUUUGAUAAAUUAGUAUUCUAGUAACUGUAAUAAAAAAUGAAAUUAUGUGUCAUAAAAUUAACUUAUGAAAAACCCAAUUACUGUAAAAUUAGUACUUUUAGUUCUUUUACCAUGUAAUUUCUUUGACAAAUACACAAUAUUUUCGAUUGAAAAGCAGACAUGUUUGUUCAACAUGACUAAAUCAGUUAUUACAAUAAAAAAGCAUAACGGAGAUGUGAUUUCUAGAAAUAUAGAGAUACCUACCAAAAUUAUAACAGAAAUUACUGUUAAUAUUCAAUCAACCUCUCAUAAGUAAAUUUCCUAUUGAAAAAUUAUUAAUGUUUUAGAUUUUUCAUAAUGACAAAGACAAAAUUAAAUAAAUAGUAAUAUAUACAAAUUUCUCCAUUAUUACAUUAUUGAUGUACAAGUUACAUACAGCAUCUCUUUAAAAUAUUAUAGAGCUCAAAUCUCUAUUGCUAAAACUUAUGGUUGUUUAGUGUAAAAUGUUUCGAUAUUUUUUAUAUUAAUUAUUUUCCAGAUAAAACAAUUAGAAUUGAUUAACAUCUUACAAAAAAAUAAAGCUAGUUAUUUACAUUGGUACAUUUAAUGCUCAACAAAUGUAUAAAUUCUCCCUUACAUUAUGCAUUAUAGCUUUUCCAUGGUUUUUUUAUUUGUUCUGUGAUUGUGGGAGGAUUAGUUGGCACUCUUACAAUUGCCUCCCGUACUCUCAAUUGAAUUCAAUCCAAAGCCAUAGUCUUUCUUUUGUAUGUUUCCAUAUUAUUUAUUUUCACUUUCCUCAGCACAUGAAGGGAGAGUUUCCAUGGGAGUGAUUACGAGAGACUAGCAGAGAGAGGUGACUGGAAGAGAAUUACAGAAAAAAGAGUUUUGAUCGUGGGACGGUGAUUUAGCUUCGAGGAUUGGUUAAGAUUUAGGAGUUCUUAGAGGGCACAGCGGAAGAAUAAGAAUUUUCAAAAAUUUAUUUCUUGUCCUUCAAUUUGUAAUUUAAUAAAUGACACCAUAUGUUCAUAGAUUUUGUAUAUGUUAUAUAUUUUUGUAUAUUUUAUCGAGUUGAAGUUUUAAUUUA